This 32-nucleotide ribosomal RNA is filed under the name Lasiodiplodia theobromae. RNAcentral describes it as "partial 5.8S ribosomal RNA". Lineage: Eukaryota; Fungi; Ascomycota; Dothideomycetes; Botryosphaeriales; Botryosphaeriaceae. The record is from RNAcentral.
UUCCGGGGGCCAUGCCUGUUCGAGCGUCAUUA